This 496-nucleotide ribosomal RNA is filed under the name uncultured bacterium. Its description in RNAcentral is "partial 16S ribosomal RNA". It matches the Rfam family "Bacterial small subunit ribosomal RNA", at positions 28 to 506 of the family's 1533-position model. The record is from RNAcentral.
GAUGAACGCUGGCGGCGUGCCUAAUACAUGCCAGUCGAGCGAACAGACGAGGAGCUUACUCCUCUGACGUUAGCGGCGGACGGGUGAGUAACACGUGGAUAACCUACCUAUAAGACUGGGAUAACUUCGGGAAACCGGAGCUAAUACCGGAUAACAUGUUGAACCGCAUGGUUCAACAGUGAAAGACGGUCUUGCUGUCACUUAUAGAUGGAUCCGCGUCGCAUUAGCUAGUUGGUAAGGUAACGGCUUACCAAGGCAACGAUGCGUAGCCGACCUGAGAGGGUGAUCGGCCACACUGGAACUGAGACACGGUCCAGACUCCUACGGGAGGCAGCAGUAGGGAAUCUUCCGCAAUGGGCGAAAGCCUGACGGAGCAACGCCGCGUGAGUGAAGAAGGUCUUCGGAUCGUAAAACUCUGUUAUUAGGGAAGAACAAAUGUGUAAGUAACUAUGCACGUCUUGACGGUACCUAAGCAGAAAGCCACGGCUAACUACGU